This is a long non-coding RNA of Eriocheir sinensis (Chinese mitten crab), 494 nucleotides long. RefSeq lists it as uncharacterized. NCBI's taxonomy places the organism in Eukaryota, Metazoa, Arthropoda, Malacostraca, Decapoda, Varunidae. The transcript has 3 exons. The record is from RefSeq and is a predicted model, not a curated record.
UCUCUCUCAUACGCACUUUUCUUUCUUUUUAUCAUAUUUUCUUUGUUUUUAUUUCCUCUAAGUUAUCAUCAUCACUACAACCUUUAAAGAAAACGGGACGAGGCAACGAAACCCAGACCGAGACAUCAAACAAUAGAAGCGAGAGAGAGCGAGCGAGUGACCUGCAAACAUUGACCUCCUGCCGCCCUCCCUGACCUGACCUCUGCCCGCCAUGACCUCCAGCGGCAAGAUAAAGGGUCAAAGGCUUCCUGGGAUGACCUGUGGACGUGUGGAAAGAGAGGAGUGAGGGAAGGAAGACUGCAAGGAAGGACGGACGGAAGGAAGGAAGGAAAGGAACACAGCAACCAUAUACACCAGCCCGUCCUUGAUGUCGGAAAACCAUCUGGAGGAAGAGGAGGAGGAGAAAGAGCUAUUGAGAGGAGACAUCACCCUGACCACAAGAGGAGAAAGAGCUACCUAGAGGAGACAUCACCCUAACCACAAGAGGAGAAAGA